This 492-nucleotide ribosomal RNA is filed under the name uncultured bacterium. Its description in RNAcentral is "partial 16S ribosomal RNA". It matches the Rfam family "Bacterial small subunit ribosomal RNA", at positions 29 to 507 of the family's 1533-position model. The record is from RNAcentral.
AGUGAACGCUGGCGGUAGGCCUAACACAUGCAAGUCGAACGGCAGCACAGUAAGAGCUUGCUCUUACGGGUGGCGAGUGGCGGACGGGUGAGGAAUACAUCGGAAUCUACUUUUUCGUGGGUGAUAACGUAGGGAAACUUACGCUAAUACCGCAUACGACCUACGGGUGAAAGCAGGGGAUCUUCGGACCUUGCGCGAUUGAAUGAGCCGAUGUCGGAUUAGCUAGUUGGCGGGGUAAAGGCCCACCAAGGCGACGAUCCGUAGCUGGUCUGAGAGGAUGAUCAGCCAGACUGGAACUGAGACACGGUACAGACUCCUACGCGAGGCAGCAGUGGGGAAUAUUAGACAAUGGGGGCAAGCCUGAUCCAGCAAUACCGCGUGGGUGAAGAAGGACUUCGGGUUGUAAAGCCCUUUUGUUGGGAGAGAAAAGCAGCAGGUUAAUACCCCGCUGUUCUGACGGUACCCAAAGAAUAAGCACCGGCUAACUUCGUG